Non-coding RNA from Trachymyrmex cornetzi, 45 nucleotides. NCBI's taxonomy places the organism in Eukaryota, Metazoa, Arthropoda, Insecta, Hymenoptera, Formicidae. The record is from Rfam.
AAAUCGGCCUUUUUUGAGGCCACAAACAUUUUCAAAGUGUUGGAA